AACUAAUCUCAUUCAUUUCCAGUUAAAUCAGCAGAAAUAAUUUUCCUUAGUGAUACUGCAGAUAGGCCUUGGUUCUCCAUCUAUAAAGAUGUCUUUAUCCUCUCUGUCUCUCUGUCCUCUUUGUCUUCCCUGAGGAUGGAGAAAAUAUUCAAGAGGCUUUUCUCAGUGAUAUUAGGACAGUUCUUGGUUUCCACUUUAUUCUUUUGGGGUUUUGUACUGGGCUCAUGACCGAAACACCAGAGUGACAUGCAGUAGAGCAUGGAGCAGCACAAGGAACAGCUGGUGUAUUAGGGCAGAGCAGAGGACCUGUUAGUAUACAGUAACAGGAUGCAGCACAGAGCAGAUGAUCUCCAGGAGCUGUGGCACUCCUUGCACCAUGAGGCCCCUGGCUCACAGAAGCAGAGGCAUUACACUCACUAGCUCUAGUAUGAGGAACAGCCCCACUACAGCAGCUGAGGCUUCACAGCUCAGCACUUACCUACAAUUUUAGGCAAAGCAGUGGAAAA
This is a long non-coding RNA of Pezoporus occidentalis (night parrot), 506 nucleotides long. RefSeq lists it as uncharacterized. The record is from RefSeq and is a predicted model, not a curated record. NCBI's taxonomy places the organism in Eukaryota, Metazoa, Chordata, Aves, Psittaciformes, Psittacidae. The transcript is spliced from 3 exons.